UGGGGAAUUUUGGACAAUGGGCGAAAGCCUGAUCCAGCAAUGCCGCGUGUGUGAAGAAGGCCUUCGGGUUGUAAAGCACUUUUGUCCGGAAAGAAAUCCUUGGCUCUAAUACAGUCGGGGGAUGACGGUACCGGAAGAAUAAGCACCGGCUAACUACGCGCCAGCAGCCGCGGUAAUACGUAGGGUGCAAGCGUUAAUCGGAAUUACUGGGCGUAAAGCGUGCGCAGGCGGUUUGCUAAGACCGAUGUGAAAUCCCCGGGCUCAACCUGGGAACUGCAUUGGUGACUGGCAGGCUAGAGUAUGGCAGAGGGGGGUAGAAUUCCACGUGUAGCAGUGAAAUGCGUAGAGAUGUGGAGGAAUACCGAUGGCGAAGGCAGCCCCCUGGGCCAAUACUGACGCUCAUGCACGAAAGCGUGGGGAGCAAACAGGAUUAGAUACCCUGGUAGUCCACGCCCUAAAACGAUGUCAACUAGUUGUUGGGGAUUCAUUUCCUUAGUAACGUAGCUAACGCGUGAAGUUGACCGCCUGGGGAGUACGGUCGCAAGAUUAAAACUCAAGGAAUUGACGGGUCAUAGCUG
This 578-nucleotide ribosomal RNA is filed under the name uncultured bacterium. RNAcentral's name for it is "partial 16S ribosomal RNA". It matches the Rfam family "Bacterial small subunit ribosomal RNA", at positions 355 to 926 of the family's 1533-position model. The record is from RNAcentral.